UAUUCUGCUCAGAUUGAACGCUGGCGGCGUGCUUAACACAUGCAAGUCGAGCGAGAAAGUUCUCUUCGGAGAAUGAGUAGAGCGGCGCACGGGUGAGUAACGCGUGGAUAAUCUACCCUGAAGAUCGGGAUAACAGUUGGAAACGACUGCUAAUACCGGAUAUCCUGCAUAUUUAGCUUUAUGUGGUAAAGGCGGCCUCUAUUUAUAAGCUGCCGCUUUGGGAUGAGUCCGCGUCUCAUUAGCUUGUUGGUGGGGUAAUGGCCUACCAAGGCAACGAUGAGUAGCUGGUCUGAGAGGAUGAUCAGCCACACUGGGACUGAAACACGGCCCAGACUCCUACGGGAGGCAGCAGUGGGGAAUAUUGCGCAAUGGGGGAAACCCUGACGCAGCGACGCCGCGUGCGGGAAGAAGGCCUUCGGGUCGUAAACCGCUGUCAGGAGGGAAGAAACUGUUAGGGUAUAAUACGCCCUUUCACUGACGGUACCUCCAAAGGAAGCACCGGCUAACUCCGUGCCAGCAGCCGCGGUAAUACGGAGGGUGCGAGCGUUAAUCGGAAUCACUGGGCGUAAAGCGCACGUAGGCGGCGCAUCAAGUCAGGCGUGAAAGCCCUCGGCUCAACCGAGGAAUUGCGCUUGAAACUGGUGUGCUGGAGUCUCGGAGAGGUUGGCGGAAUUCCAGGUGUAGGAGUGAAAUCCGUAGAUAUCUGGAGGAACACCGGUGGCGAAGGCGGCCAACUGGACGAGUACUGACGCUGAGGUGCGAAAGCGUGGGGAGCAAACAGGAUUAGAUACCCUGGUAGUCCACGCUGUAAACGAUGGAUAUUAGGUGUCGGGGGUUACCUUCGGUGCCGCAGUUAACGCGUUAAAUUCCCGCCUGGGAGA
Molecule: ribosomal RNA, 881 nt
Filed under: bacterium 060620-Aspo-KJ0052F01-A2-SRB10
Lineage: Bacteria
Description: bacterial SSU rRNA
Rfam family: Bacterial small subunit ribosomal RNA
Source: RNAcentral